Molecule: ribosomal RNA, 1664 nt
Filed under: Mychodea sp. _1perplexa
Lineage: Eukaryota; Rhodophyta; Florideophyceae; Gigartinales; Mychodeaceae
Also listed under: 1 other name
Description: eukaryotic LSU rRNA
Rfam family: Eukaryotic large subunit ribosomal RNA
Source: RNAcentral
CGGAGGAAAAGAAACUAACUAGGAUUCCCCCAGUAGCGGCGAGCGAAGCGGGAAGAGCCCAAGAUGAAAAGCCUGCUUGCAGGCGUUGUAUUUGAUUGCUUUCGGGGUGUCAGUGUGGGCAAGUUCGCAUGAAAAUGCACGCCGUGGAGGGUGAUAGCCCCGUCCAACCUACACAGGACACGCCGUACGAAAGUGAUUCUGACGAGUCGGGUAGCUUGGGAAUGCUGCUCUAAUUGGUGGUAAAUCUCAUCAAAGGCUAAAUAGCGGCUGGAGACCGAUAGCGAACAAGUACCGUGAGGGAAAGAUGAAAAGCACUUUGAAAAGAGGGUGAAAAGAACCUGAAACCGUCACGGGGGAAGCGGAUUGCGUUGGCCUGGUGGGCGCUUGUGUGUUCAGCCUUUUUGGGUGCAUUGACACAGGUGCUUAUCCGUCGUGGGUUUUCGGGGGCCGAUAUUGGGUCCCCGGAGGCUGAGGGCUCCCUUCGGGUGAGGACGACGGAGUGACGACGCGAUACGACCCGUCUUGAAACACGGACCAAGGAGUCUAGCGCGGGUGCGAGUCGGAGGGUGCAAGCCCGUGGGCGAAGUGAAAGCGAGUUUUAAAAACGAGCAGUUUGGGGCGGCAUAAGAUCGUUGAUCUUAAGACCGACCCAGAGCAGUUGCGCUGGGACCCGAAAGAUGGUGAACUAUGCCGGAGUAGGGCAAAGCCAGAGGAAACUCUGGUGGAGGCUCGUAGCGGUGCUGACGUGCAAAUCGCUCGUCCAACUUGGGUAUAGGGGCGAAAGACUAAUCGAACCAUCUAGUAGCUGGUUCCCUCCGAAGUUUCUCUCAGGAUAGCGGGCCGACAAGUUGUUUUGUGCGGUAAAGCGAAUGAUUAGCGUAUUUGGGGCACCUAGUGCUUCGGGCGAUUCUCAAACUUUAAAUGCGCAAGGGUGUCGCUGCUUUGUUGAGCGGCACCGGUAAAAACGUCGGCCCUGUGGGCCACUUUUGGUAAGCAGAACUGGCGAUACGGGAUGAACCGUAAGCAUGGUUAAGGCGCCAGACUGCCCGCUUAUAGAUCCCACAAAAGGUGUUGAUUCAUCGAGACAGCAGGACGGUGGCCAUGGAAGUCGGAAUCCGCCAAGGAGUGUGUAACAACUCACCUGCCGAAUGAAUUAGCCCUGAAAAUGGAUGGCGCUGAAGCGGGCGGCCGACACCAUGCCGUCUGGAUAAGAAUUUCAGAUGAGUAGGAGGGCGUGGGGGCCGUGGCGAAGCAUGCGUGCAGACGCGUGUGGAACGGCCUCUAGUGCAGAUCUUGGUGGUAGUAGCAAGUAUUCAAGCGAGAUCCUUGAAGGGCGAAGCGGGGAAGGGUUCCACGCGAACAUUGAUUGGGCGUGGGUGAGUCGUUCCUAAGCCGAGUGGCGAUUGCUAAGUAGCGGCGAAAGGGAAGCGGGUUGACAUUCCCGCACACGGAUGUGGAGGCGGCGACGCAUUAUUGGGGCGAACACGCUGGCGACGGCGCUGGGCAGAGUUGUCUUUUCUGUUUGACCGUUUGUGCGCGCGGUGUGGAAUCCGCUUGUCGGGAGAAACACGCGUGUACGGGCAGAGCGCCGGGGCUUUUCCGGCGUCCAGCUCGCCGUCGACGGCCCUUGAAAAUUUGCCUGCUGAUAUAGAUCCACGCCGUGG